This 253-nucleotide ribosomal RNA is filed under the name uncultured bacterium. RNAcentral describes it as "partial 16S ribosomal RNA". It matches the Rfam family "Bacterial small subunit ribosomal RNA", at positions 524 to 776 of the family's 1533-position model. The record is from RNAcentral.
CACGUAGGGCGCGAGCGUUGUCCGGAAUUAUUGGGCGUAAAGAGCUCGUAGGCGGCCUGUUGCGUCCGCUGUGAAAGCCCGGGGCUCAACCCUGGAAUGCCGGUGGAAACUGUCGAGCUAGAGUCCGGAAGAGGCGAGUGGAAUUCCUGGUGUAGCGGUGAAAUGCGCAGAUAUCAGGAGGAACACCAAUGGCGAAGGCAGCUCGCUGGGACGGUACUGACGCUGAGACGCGAAAGCGUGGGGAGCAAACAGG